This 1336-nucleotide long non-coding RNA is filed under the name Strigops habroptila (Kakapo). RNAcentral's name for it is "lncRNA (ENSSHBG00005016974.1)". The record is from RNAcentral. Lineage: Eukaryota; Metazoa; Chordata; Aves; Psittaciformes; Psittacidae.
GGUUCCGCUCCGGGAAGCGGCCGGGAACGGGGCCGGUCCGGUCCGGUCCGGAUGGGCUCGGGGAGCCGCGGGGCGGGCGCGGAGCGCAGGAACCCGCUCCAGCGUGAGUGAGGAGCAGCUGCCUUCCCUGGGCGCUCCGGCAGAGAGGCGGCUGCUCCUUCCUUCGAGAUGGCAAGUGAUGGAGCCGGGAUUCCAGCCCAAGAAAGCUGGACCCUGGAGAUCUUCCCUCACUGACGUGGCUGUUCGGACACAGCCUUCUCCUCCUCCUGCUGCAAUAGCAAUGCUAGUGUCCCCAUGCAGCUGCAGUGAGGAGCUCUUGGCUUGGUCAGGAGUGAAUCCCCAGCUUGGCGUAGCAGCGCCAGUGGCUAUGGAGUGACCUGUGCUCCGGGUGCGUGGCUGAAGCGGCUGCCUGGGCACCGAAUGCGCCCGGCCCACGUGCUCCUCGCCUCUGCCAUGAAUGAUGCAUCGACGAUGGAUUAUGAACUGCUGUCCCCCUCCUUGGUUGAGCACCCAGCCGGCUCUGCGGGUAUGGAUGCUGAGCAGAAAACCGUCUUUGCCUUUGUCAUCUUCCUUCUGGUCUUCUUGGUGAUGCUGAUGGUGCGCUGCUUCCGCAUCCUGCUGGACCCCUACAGCCGCAUGCCCGCCUCCUCCUGGACUGACCACAAGGAGGGGUUGGAGAGGGGCCAGUUUGACUACGCCUUGGUGUAGAGGGCAGGGAUGGGGCGAGCCUGGGUGCUCUGUGUGCCUCCCACCCCGGCUGGCCCCGGCCCCGGCCCCCCCUUCCUCUGUGGUGUUGCCCUGGGCCAGCAAGGAUGCUCUGGGCAGGGAGGGGAGGUCAGGCUCUCGCCCGGGGUGGGUUUUCUAGGGGUUUCUCUCUUUUCUAAGCACUUUUCAGUUCUCUUUGCAGUCUGCAGGACUCUUGGAGAGAUAUGUUGGAGGGGGAGAUGUGGCUCUGCAUGGUCCCUGCUGCCCACCGUGGGACAGGGGCAGGAGGUGAUGGGGCAGGGCAUGGCGGGACCUGCCCUUGGCCACAGCCCACAGGGCUCCUGCUCUGGGUGGCUCUGCCUGGUGCCAGGCCAGAGCUUUGACCCCCACCUCCUCCUGCCCCCCCAUGUCACCCUCGUCUGUGUCCUCCGGGGAGUGCUGAUCGUGGUCCAGUGCGUGUGUGUGUGUGUCCCUGUAGCUGAGCUGUGUCUGUCAGGGGGUUUAUAGGCACCAGACCCAAGUGCUGGCUUUGUUCUUCUCUGUGUGGCAGCCCCAAGUGCCCCCCACCCCCAGUCCAUAAGGAGAACCUCUCCCUCCACCAUGGAAAUAAAGCUGCACUGUGCUAACCCCA